GACGAACGCUGGCGGCGUGCUUAACACAUGCAAGUCGAACGGAAAGGCCCUGCUUUUGUUGGGUGCUCGAGUGGCGAACGGGUGAGUAACACGUGAGUAACCUGUCCCUGUCUUUGGGAUAACUCCACGAAACAGGGGCUAAUAUCGGAUAGGAUCUCUUGCUCCAUGGUGGUGGUUGGAAAGUUUCGGCGGUUGUGGAUGGACUCGCGGCUUAUCCGCUUGAUUGUGGGGUAGGGGCUUACCAAGGUUUUGACGGGUAGCCGGCCUGAGAGGGUGACCGGCGACAUUGGGACUGAGAUACGGCCCAGACUCCUACGGGAGGCAGCAGUGGGGAAUAUUGCACAAUGGGCGGAAGCCUGAUGCAGCAACGCCGCGUGCGGGAUGACGGCCUUCGGGUUGUAAACCGCUUUCGCCUGUGACGAAGCGUGAGUGACGGUAAUGGGUAAAGAAGCACCGGCUAACUACGUG
Molecule: ribosomal RNA, 468 nt
Filed under: uncultured bacterium
Lineage: Bacteria
Description: partial 16S ribosomal RNA
Rfam family: Bacterial small subunit ribosomal RNA
Source: RNAcentral